UGGGGAAUAUUGGACAAUGGGCGAAAGCCUGAUCCAGCCAUGCCGCGUGAGCGAUGAAGGCCCUAGGGUUGUAAAGCUCUUUUAGCGGGGAAGAUAAUGACGGUACCCGCAGAAUAAGCCCCGGCUAACUUCGUGCCAGCAGCCGCGGUAAUACGAAGGGGGCUAGCGUUGCUCGGAAUCACUGGGCGUAAAGGGCGCGUAGGCGGCCAUUCAAGUCGGGGGUGAAAGCCCAGGGCUCAACCCUGGAAUUGCUUUCGAUACUGUUUGGCUAGGGACCGGAAGAGGUAAAUGGAACUGCGAGUGUAGAGGUGAAAUUCGUAGAUAUUCGCAAGAACACCGGUGGCGAAGGCGGCUUACUGGUCCGGUUCUGACGCUGAGGCGCGAAAGCGUGGGGAGCAAACAGG
Molecule: ribosomal RNA, 404 nt
Filed under: bacterium
Lineage: Bacteria
Description: partial 16S ribosomal RNA
Rfam family: Bacterial small subunit ribosomal RNA
Source: RNAcentral